RNAcentral lists this ribosomal RNA (468 nucleotides) under uncultured bacterium. RNAcentral's name for it is "partial 16S ribosomal RNA". It matches the Rfam family "Bacterial small subunit ribosomal RNA", at positions 28 to 507 of the family's 1533-position model. The record is from RNAcentral.
GACGAACGCUGGCGGCGUGCCUAACACAUGCAAGUCGAACGGAAAGGCCGUGCUUUUGUGCUCUGCUCGAGUGGCGAACGGGUGAGUAACACGUGAGUAACCUGCCCUUGACUUUGGGAUAACUUCAGGAAACUGGAGCUAAUACCGGAUAGGAGCUGCUGUUGCAUGGUGGGGGUUGGAAAGUUUCGGCGGUGUGGGUUGGAUUCGCGGCUUAUGAGCUUGUUAGUGGGGGAGUGGCUUACCCAGGCUUUGACGGGUAGACGGCAUGAGAAGGGGACCAGGCACAAGGGGACUGAGAGACGGCCCAGAGUGCUACGGGAGGCAGCAGGGGGAAAUAUUACACAAUGGGCGGGAGCCGGAGACAGCGACGCCGCGUGCGGGAAGACGGCCUGCUGGUAGUAAACCGCUGGCGGCUGUGACGAAGCGGGAGUGACGGUAAUGAAUAAAGAAGCACCGGCUAACUACGUG